Molecule: ribosomal RNA, 1401 nt
Filed under: Mammaliicoccus sciuri
Lineage: Bacteria; Bacillati; Bacillota; Bacilli; Caryophanales; Staphylococcaceae
Description: bacterial SSU rRNA
Rfam family: Bacterial small subunit ribosomal RNA
Source: RNAcentral
ACAGAUGAGAAGCUUGCUUCUCUGAUGUUAGCGGCGGACGGGUGAGUAACACGUGGGUAACCUACCUAUAAGACUGGGAUAACUCCGGGAAACCGGGGCUAAUACCGGAUAAUAUUUUGAACCGCAUGGUUCAAUAGUGAAAGACGGUUUCGGCUGUCACUUAUAGAUGGACCCGCGCCGUAUUAGCUAGUUGGUAAGGUAACGGCUUACCAAGGCGACGAUACGUAGCCGACCUGAGAGGGUGAUCGGCCACACUGGAACUGAGACACGGUCCAGACUCCUACGGGAGGCAGCAGUAGGGAAUCUUCCGCAAUGGGCGAAAGCCUGACGGAGCAACGCCGCGUGAGUGAUGAAGGUCUUCGGAUCGUAAAACUCUGUUGUUAGGGAAGAACAAAUUUGUUAGUAACUGAACAAGUCUUGACGGUACCUAACCAGAAAGCCACGGCUAACUACGUGCCAGCAGCCGCGGUAAUACGUAGGUGGCAAGCGUUAUCCGGAAUUAUUGGGCGUAAAGCGCGCGUAGGCGGUUUCUUAAGUCUGAUGUGAAAGCCCACGGCUCAACCGUGGAGGGUCAUUGGAAACUGGGAAACUUGAGUGCAGAAGAGGAGAGUGGAAUUCCAUGUGUAGCGGUGAAAUGCGCAGAGAUAUGGAGGAACACCAGUGGCGAAGGCGGCUCUCUGGUCUGUAACUGACGCUGAUGUGCGAAAGCGUGGGGAUCAAACAGGAUUAGAUACCCUGGUAGUCCACGCCGUAAACGAUGAGUGCUAAGUGUUAGGGGGUUUCCGCCCCUUAGUGCUGCAGCUAACGCAUUAAGCACUCCGCCUGGGGAGUACGACCGCAAGGUUGAAACUCAAAGGAAUUGACGGGGACCCGCACAAGCGGUGGAGCAUGUGGUUUAAUUCGAAGCAACGCGAAGAACCUUACCAAAUCUUGACAUCCUUUGACCGCUCUAGAGAUAGAGUCUUCCCCUUCGGGGGACAAAGUGACAGGUGGUGCAUGGUUGUCGUCAGCUCGUGUCGUGAGAUGUUGGGUUAAGUCCCGCAACGAGCGCAACCCUUAAGCUUAGUUGCCAUCAUUAAGUUGGGCACUCUAGGUUGACUGCCGGUGACAAACCGGAGGAAGGUGGGGAUGACGUCAAAUCAUCAUGCCCCUUAUGAUUUGGGCUACACACGUGCUACAAUGGAUAAUACAAAGGGCAGCGAAUCCGCGAGGCCAAGCAAAUCCCAUAAAAUUAUUCUCAGUUCGGAUUGUAGUCUGCAACUCGACUACAUGAAGCUGGAAUCGCUAGUAAUCGUAGAUCAGCAUGCUACGGUGAAUACGUUCCCGGGUCUUGUACACACCGCCCGUCACACCACGAGAGUUUGUAACACCCGAAGCCGGUGGAGUAACCUUUUAGGAGCU